This 1260-nucleotide ribosomal RNA is filed under the name Nothophytophthora lirii. Its description in RNAcentral is "Nothophytophthora sp. 'liri' partial large subunit ribosomal RNA". Lineage: Eukaryota; Oomycota; Peronosporomycetes; Peronosporales; Peronosporaceae. The record is from RNAcentral.
CUAACAAGGAUUCCCCUAGUAACGGCGAGUGAAGCGGGAUGAGCUCAAGCUUAAAAUCUCCGUGCACGUUGUGCAUGGCGAAUUGUAGUCUAUAGAUGCGUGAUCAGUGCGACCGCUCGGGGUAAGUUCCUUGGAAGAGGACAGCAUCGAGGGUGAUACUCCCGUUUGUACCAGAGUGUGUUGUGCGUACGAUCCGUAUUCUUUGAGUCGCGUUGUUUGGGAAUGCAGCGCAAAGUAGGUGGUAAAUUCCAUCUAAAGCUAAAUAUUGGUGCGAGACCGAUAGCGAACAAGUACCGUGAGGGAAAGAUGAAAAGAACUUUGAAAAGAGAGUUAAAGAGUACCUGAAACUGCUGAAAGGGAACCGAAUCGUCUCCAGUGUCUAUAAUCUGCGGCAUAUUUCAUUGGCGAGCGUGCGUGUGCGGCGCUUUGGCAGCGGCUUAAUUGCUGCGCCGGGUGUUGCUUGUGCGUGUGCUUGCUGGUGCCCUGUGCUGUGGUGRGACGUCAAGGUCAGUUCGUAUGCUGCGGGAAAUGACUGCCGAGGAGGUAGGGCUUACACUCUGUGUUUGUCUAUUAUAUCUUGGCGGACUAGUAGUCGCGGUUGGGACUGAGGUGUUCUACAAUGUGCUUUUGAGUGUGUGGGACUCUCGGUGUGCGUGCUGUGUGUAUAGCUUGCUAUGUGCGCGGUUUAGCGUGUCGAUUGAGGCCUGCAGUAACUUGUUGCCGUUCGGGACUUUGACGAAAUGGAGCGAUCCGACCCGUCUUGAAACACGGACCAAGGAGUCUAACAUGUGUGCAAGUGUUAGGGUGUGGAAACCCCAGCGCGUAAUGAAAGUAAAGGACAGCGUUAGUUGUCUGAGGUAGGAAACGCUGGGCUCUCGGGCUCGGGGUGGCACUAUCGACCGAUCAUGACCCCUCGUGGCGAAAGAUUUGAGUUUGAGCACAUAUGUUGGUACCCGAAAGAUGGUGAACUAUGCCUGAGUAGGGUGAAGCCAGGGGAAACUCUGGUGGAAGCUCGUAGCGAUUCUGACGUGCAAAUCGAUCGUCAAACUUGGGUAUAGGGGCGAAAGACUAAUCGAACCAUCUAGUAGCUGGUUCCCUCCGAAAUUUCCCUCAGGAUAGCAGCAACUUAUUUACGAUAGUUUUAUGAGGUAAAGCGAAUGAUUAGAGGAUUCGGGGAAGUAACUUUCUCGACCUAUUCUCAAACUUUAAAUCUGUAAGACCUGCAGGUUUCUUAAUUGAACUUGUGGAUGUGAAUAUCAA